This 382-nucleotide unclassified non-coding RNA is filed under the name uncultured bacterium. RNAcentral describes it as "contains 16S-23S intergenic spacer region". The record is from RNAcentral.
UCCGGUUUGGCACCGGCAGUCCUCCCAGAGUCCUCGCCACGACGCGUUAGCAACUGGGAGCGGGGGUUGCGCUCGUUGCGGGACCUAACCCAACAUCUCAUGACACGAGCUGACGACAGCCAUGCAGCACCUCGACUCUAGUCCCUUGCGGGAAAACCGUGUUUCCACAGUCGUUCACGAGCCGUUCGAGCCCAGGUAAGGUUCUUCGCGUUGCGUCGAAUUAAUCCGCAUGCUCCGCCGCUUGUGCGGGCCCCCGUCAAUUCCUUUGAGUUUUAGCCUUGCGGCCGUACUCCCCAGGCGGGGCGCUUAAUGCGUUAGCUGCGGCACAGAGAACCGGAGAGGCCCCCCACACCUAGCGCCCAACGUUUACAGCGUGGACUAC